RNAcentral lists this ribosomal RNA (1040 nucleotides) under Panellus pusillus. Its description in RNAcentral is "partial large subunit ribosomal RNA". It matches the Rfam family "Eukaryotic large subunit ribosomal RNA", at positions 51 to 1443 of the family's 3401-position model. The record is from RNAcentral. Lineage: Eukaryota; Fungi; Basidiomycota; Agaricomycetes; Agaricales; Mycenaceae.
UCGAGGAACGGACAGACUAACAGGAUCCCUAGUACUGCGAGUGAAGCGGGAAAAGCUCAAAUUUAAAAUCUGGCGGUUCUGCCGUCCGAGUUGUAAUUUAGAGAAGCGUUAUCCGCGCUGGACCGUGUACAAGUCUCCUGGAAUGGAGCGUCAUAGAGGGUGAGAAUCCCGUCUUUGACACGGACUGCCAGGGCAUUGUGAUGCGCUCUCAAAGAGUCGAGUUGUUUGGGAAUGCAGCUCAAAAUGGGUGGUAAAUUCCAUCUAAAGCUAAAUAUUGGGGAGAGACCGAUAGCGAACAAGUACCGUGAGGGAAAGAUGAAAAGAACUUUGGAAAGAGAGUUAAACAGUACGUGAAAUUGUUGAAAGGGAAACGCUUGAAGUCAGUCGCGCCGUUCAGAACUCAGCCUUGCUUUGCUUGGUGUACUUUCUGUUCGGUGGGUCAGCAUCAAUUUUGGUCGGUGGAUAAAGGUUCAGAGAAUGUGGCAUCUUCGGGUGUGUUAUAGCUCUGGGUCGCAUACAUCGGCUGGGAUUGAGGAACUCAGCACGCCGCAAGGCCGGGUACUUGUACCACGUACGUGCUUAGGAUGCUGGCAUAAUGGCUUUAAUCGACCCGUCUUGAAACACGGACCAAGGAGUCUAACAUGCCUGCGAGUGUUUGGGUGGAAAACCCGAGCGCGUAAUGAAAGUGAAAGUUGAGAUCCCUGUCGUGGGGAGCAUCGACGCCCGGAGCAGACCUUUUUGUGACGCAUCCGCGGUAGAGCAUGUAUGUUGGGGACCCCGAAAGAUGGUGAACUAUGCCUGAAUAGGGGCGAAGCCAGAGGAAACUCUGGUGGAGGCUCGUUAGCGAUUCUGACGUGCAAAUCGAUCGUUCGAAUUUUGGGGUAUAGGGGGCGAAAGACUAAUCGAAACCAUUUGAAAUUGGCUUACUUGGGUGGAUUGAUAGGCGGUUGAAGACCAUUGCCUUAGUAUGUGUUGAGGAUUGCCGACACCGAUCCAAUUGCCGGGGAACCUUCCAUUAGAGGCCUUUUGGCCUUAACCGG